AACGAACGCUGGCGGCGCGCCUAACACAUGCAAGUCGAACGAGAAUCCGGGGCAACCCGGUAGUAAAGCGGCAAACGGGUGAGGAAUACAUGGGUAACCUACCCUUGAGAAGGGAAUAACCCGCCGAAAGGUGAGCUAAUACCCUAUACGCUAUCUUUUUUUCGAAAAGGAUAGGAAAGCCGGGUCGAGGACCUGGUACUCAAGGAGGGGCUCAUGUCCUAUCAGCUUGUUGGUGGGGUAAAAGCCUACCAAGGCGACGAUCUGUAGCUGGUCUGAGAGGACGACCAGCCACACUGGGACUGAGACACGGCCCAGACUCCUACGGGAGGCAGCAGUGGGGAAUUUUUGGACAAUGGGCGCAAGCCUGAUCCAGCCAUGCCGCGUGCGGGAAGAAGGCCUCGGUUGUAACGACUUUGUCUAGGAGAACGUUAGUAGCGUAAUA
Molecule: ribosomal RNA, 442 nt
Filed under: uncultured bacterium
Lineage: Bacteria
Description: bacterial SSU rRNA
Rfam family: Bacterial small subunit ribosomal RNA
Source: RNAcentral